GCAUGACCCAGUUGGGAACAAGGAUCCCAUGUUGAUUGACUCCCCACCUUGACAAGUAUCUUGUUGUUGGGAUGACCAGCAUGUGACUAUUGGGACAAGAUAGAAGUAUUUACAAAGCCAACAGUUUUGACCAAUUUAUGCGAAUUAGGGCAGAUUUGAGAGUACACUUAAGAGUUUUAAACUUUGUUUGAAAAAACAAAAAACAGUGUUCUUGGAAUAGUUUCUUUGGAGUAGAGCGCAUAAGGCCAAAUUUUAUCUGAUUGUUGGUGAGCACCUGUGGGUUUUUGUGUUCCUUAUGUAGUAUCCCUUAGGUUUGGGUCGAACAAUGUAAACCUUAUCAUUUCCACUGUUUUUAACAUCUCAAAUGAUGUCCCACGUCCUAGGUGCCAAUCCACAAAUGCCCACUCCUACAUCUUCUCCCUCCUCCCUCCAUUUUGCCACUAUGAUGCUGCUCUAAACUCACCCAACUUUUCGAAACCCACCACUCCAGCCUCCUCCUACGUUCGAGCAUCACAUCUCCACAGGACCAAGGGCCUUCCAUCCCAUUGGUUUCAAAUAAUGCCAUCCUCUGAUAUAUAUUGGUUGGUGGUCUAUUUUCUGGGAAGCUCUGGGUCAUCAGCCAGCAUAUAUUGUUCUUCCUCUAUUGCAGGACCUCUCUGUCACAGGACAUCCACUGUUUAAGCACCACCACUACCUCAGGAAGUCCACUGUCUGUGUGUCAACUCCCACUGUUACAGGACCACAAGUGUCUCAGCACUUCAACUAUCACAGCACUUCUACUGUUCAGGAGCUCAAGAGUCUCAGCAUCUCAAGUGUCACAGGACCUCCUUUGUCCAAGAACUGGACUGUCCAAGCAAUACUGCUAUUGCGGGACCUCCACUGUCACAGGAUUUCCACUGUAGGAGCACUACAACUGUCUCAGGACACCCACUGUCCUAUAACCUCCACUAUCCCAGGAAUUCCACUGUCGUAGCACCACCCGUAGCAACUAAAGUGUUUCAGGACAUCAACUGAAGCAAGAUCUCCCAUGAUUCUGCAACUUCACUGCCCCAGGAUCUCUACAGUGACAGGAAUACUUCUGUAUCAGCAAUUCCAAUUUUGCAGGACCUCCACUGUAGCAGAACCUCAAUUGUGCAGCAGCUCCCCUGUAUGUAGAUUGACCUCCACGAUCUCAGUGCCUCCACUUUCAAAGGACCUUCACUGUCACAGAACCGGCGCUAUUUCAGUGCCUCCACUGUCGCAGGACCUACCUCUUCACAGGAUCUGCACUGUUGCAGCAACUGUAAUUUCAAUUUUUCAAAGUCAUUGCUGGUUAUUAGAUUUCAGGCUGAAUGAAAUGAGAUGUUACUUUUGAAAGCAUAAGAAUUUGUUCUAUACCUCUUGUGAUAAAUGCCGUGUUUGCUAGGACCAGUAAACUAUGGAAGACUUCUUCAGCUCAUACCACUCUCCACCUCACUUUGUGGAAGCUGGUGUUUUUAGAGUGUGAUAAACUUCAGGUGAAUGGAUGCAUUCAGCUGCACCACGCUCUAGAGUGGACUACACAGCAGUCAUAUUGAGUCCUUGCUGGGAAGAGAAGAAAUCCAGAAGAAGGAGAAGGCUUGGGUUGGGGGAAGAAUCAUAAAAUACUUAGAGGAUAUUAGAAGGUAAGAAUUAUGGGGAACUGGAAAACAGAGCCAAAGGAAGAAUGAGCACAGAGCAAACUGGGAAGGACAAAGUACAAAGGCACUUGGGUUUUGCCAUCUGCGUGUUCUCUGGACAAUCUCCCUGGGCCACAUUUCUGGGAGAAAACUCUUCCCCCACCCCCUUGUAAGGUUUCAUUCUUGAAGGAAAGCAGCAACACAACUUCAUCAGUGAAUUUCCCCAUUGGAAUUGGUUCAUCCUUUAAUGCUUCUGGGAAAUCCCGAGCUGGGGAAUGUCCUGCUCUCUGCUGAGAGACAGCAGGAAAGUAGGUCGUCCUCUGUUUUCUCGUUGCUACAGCUCUUCUAAGUAUGGCUGAUUGUUGAGUGAAGACACAGGAUACUUCUGGUGUGUAUGUAUGCUUUGUUCACUGUGGGUGUUGUUGGGAGUGUCCUGAAAAGAAGGGCAUGCCCAAUGGCACUUCUGCUUCCUCUUUGACUAGCCUUAUGAUCAUAGGGAGACACUAGGCCAUUGGAAGAUGAGGAGAGCAAUGUGUCUAAGUUGUGUUCACUUCUAUUCCUAUUUAGUCCUAGAGGGAAAUCAGCAAGGGUGUGAGGAAUGCUGCUGUGCACUGACUGUGUGGUGUGAGGAAUGCUGCUGUGCACUGACUGUGUGGUGUGAGGAAUGCUGCUGUGCACUGACUGUGUGGUGUGAGGAAUGCUGCUGUGCACUGACUGUGUGGUGUGAGGAAUGCUGCUGUGCACUGACUGUGUGCUGUGAGGAAUGCUGCUGUGCAUUGACGCUGCCUUUUUUCUUUUCUCCCUACACCUGCAUCCUUCUGGUGGCUCAGGUUGGACAACUAGGUGCCCAUGACCAACUCCUCAUUGUGGAUGGAUUUAGUCUGGUUGGACUUUCUCAGGAAAGGCAGCUGAACUCAUGACUAGUACCAGUUCCACGGUUACCCUGGAAGUUGCAAAUCAAGACAUCCUCUCUCACUGCCUGUCCACCUUUCUUACCAACCCAUUGUCCUCCAUGGUGCAGAGAGGCCUGUCAUCAGUGCCUUGGCGUUUGUGGGACUCAUCCACAGAGGCAUGCAACUCAGAGAACGGUACCCCAACUUGGUGCACAGGAACUCUUUCAGGUGUCACUUGAUUGUCACAGGUUUCUGCUCGGUCAGCAAGGAAGGGAAGCCUAGCCCUGUGCCAGGAAUGACUGCAUAUGGUCAACACACACUACCCUGGAAGACCCGAGAGUUCAAGGACGGCCAACUUUCACUUAAGCAAACUUGUCCACAGACUGCGUGGGUCCCAUCAGCUGAGAGUAGCCUCCACAUUGCAGUGAUGUGCAAACUUCUGCCUUUCAGCCAUGAUGGACUUUAGGAUCUAACCUGAGGACCCUACACAAGGCACAGGUAGGUGAUGUGUAAAUGAGGCAUGUUACUGGGUCAGGUCUUCAGUGCAGUGUCUUAAGCUGUCAGGCUUUUGGGAGGGCAUAUGCUUCUCUAUUAAAUGAGCUGGCUUCUCUGAAGGCCUCAACUCUGCUGUGUCUGCCGCUCAUGCUCCCUCCUCCAAGAAUCUAACUGUCCCUAGCUCUCUGUGACUGGCUGGUCAGUCAGCCUUCAUGCCACUCCACAGCCACUCUACAACACAGAGCCCACACUGUCCUCUGCAGAAGUUUCACAGGGCUGCUGCUUUAGUCUCUCUGUUGCGCUAUGGGGGUCCAAAGUCAAGUUUCUUAGGUCCCUAGGUGUCCCUGAAAAGGCUCUAGAACAAGGAAGAGGUGAAGAAAUCAGGAAAUAAACUCCUGCAGUACUUCAUGACUACCACUGGAGGGCUCUACACCUUUCUGGUCCUAGUGUGCCACUCAGCAAGCCCUCUCACUCACUCUAAGGUUCUGAGCCUGAUGGAGAGGACUCCUGCUAAACCCAGUGUUCCCAAGAAACUGGCUGUACCGGCAGGGCUAACUGUAGAGGAUUCUCCACGACCCUGAGAACACAAUUUGGAAAUCUCAGGUAGGCAGGGUGUGUGGGGGAGCAACCAGGGCUGGAUGGAGACCUUACCCAGAA
RNAcentral lists this small RNA (3682 nucleotides) under Rattus norvegicus (Norway rat). Its description in RNAcentral is "uncharacterized LOC102556873". The record is from RNAcentral. Lineage: Eukaryota; Metazoa; Chordata; Mammalia; Rodentia; Muridae.